Malus domestica (apple) is the source of this 102-nucleotide small nuclear RNA. The record is from RefSeq and is a predicted model, not a curated record. Lineage: Eukaryota; Viridiplantae; Streptophyta; Magnoliopsida; Rosales; Rosaceae.
CUACAAAUCACUUAGCCAAAAAGAAAUUUGAAUGAUACAGAGAAGAUUAGCAUGGCCCCUGCUAGGGAUGGGCAAAAUACCUAUGGGUUUGAGUAACUGUGG